This 445-nucleotide ribosomal RNA is filed under the name uncultured bacterium. Its description in RNAcentral is "partial 16S ribosomal RNA". It matches the Rfam family "Bacterial small subunit ribosomal RNA", at positions 354 to 796 of the family's 1533-position model. The record is from RNAcentral.
GUAAGGAAUAUUGGACAAUGGACGCAAGUCUGAUCCAGCCAUGCCGCGUGAAGGAUUAAGGUCCUCUGGAUUGUAAACUUCUUUUAUAAGGGACGAAAAAAGGCUUUUCUAAGUCGUCUGACGGUACCUUAUGAAUAAGCACCGGCUAACUCCGUGCCAGCAGCCGCGGUAAUACGGAGGGUGCAAGCGUUAUCCGGAUUCACUGGGUUUAAAGGGUGCGUAGGCGGGCAGGUAAGUCAGUGGUGAAAUCCUAGAGCUUAACUCUAGAACUGCCAGUGAUACUAUCUGUCUUGAAUAUUGUGGAGGUAAGCGGAAUAUGUCAUGUAGCGGUGAAAUGCUUAGAUAUGACAUAGAACACCUAUUGCGAAGGCAGCUUACUACGCAUAUAUUGACGCUGAGGCACGAAAGCGUGGGGAUCAAACAGGAUUAGAUACCCUGGUAGUCC